UGCUGAGUCUAAAGUACACAUUCAGAAGUCUUAGCUUGUAUGUUAAACUUGAACGCAAGUUAUCUGUAAUUGUAUGGAAGGGAAUGUAAUGGUGGAUCAUUAGACGCUAUAGAAAUAGGGCAGCUGUUACUUGAUAAUAGGCUUGUAUGUGGAGGGAGACAAGGACUGGCAACCAAGUUGCAUGUGAACACACAAGAUAGCGUUUGAAGCUGGAACUAAAAUUGUCUUUUUAUAGUUGAAUUCAUAAUGGUGUUCUACAUUAUUUUUCUAGAAAUAAUGGUUAUUGUGUAAUUAUUUGCCAAUUUUUAAUGGAUGUGAAUUAUCUUUCAGGAUGGAGAAUAUAGCGUAGUGCCAGGCACCUGCAUUGAUCUUGAGGGCAUUAUUGAUUCUCUGCAGAAUGAUGUCAUUGAUAUUAAAAAGCAGGCAGAAGCAGCACAUAGGUACAUUGUGUCCCUAGAGGACCCACAGGAAGCUGUAGGUUGGCUUGAAAACCAACUGGGAAAAAUUACCACUGAACUAACGAAGACCAAAGAAGAACUGACAAAGAAAACCACUGAACUAACCAAAGCCGAAGAAGCUGACACAGAAAAACAGGGACCUUGAAAUGCAGAUGACUAAACUGGAUGAGUCUGCUGAGCAACUUAAAAAAGCAACUGAGAAAAUGAAUACACAGAAUACAAGGAUUCAAGAACUAAUGGACAUUGUGGGGCAAAAGGAUGAUGUUAUUACAAGGCUACAAGAUUUAAUAUCCCAUUUAGAAGAAACUGUAAAAGACUAUG
This is a non-coding RNA of Anas platyrhynchos (mallard), 779 nucleotides long. Lineage: Eukaryota; Metazoa; Chordata; Aves; Anseriformes; Anatidae. The record is from RefSeq and is a predicted model, not a curated record.